CCUACGGGAGGCAGCAGUGAGGAAUAUUGGUCAAUGGCCGAGAGCCUGAACCAGCCAAGUCGCGUGCGGGAUGACUGUCCUAUGGAUUGUAAACCUCUUUUGUACGGGAGUAAAGCCCCUCACGUGUGGGUGUUGGAGUGUACCUGAUGAAUAAGCACCGGCUAAGUCCGUGCCAGCAGCCGCGGUAAUACGGAGGAUCCGGGCGUUAUCCGGAUUUAUUGGGUUUAAAGGGUGCGUAGGCAGCAUGUCAAGUCAGCGGUGAAAUGGUCGGGCUCAACGCGGGACGGGCAGUGCGAACGGGCGGGCUUGAGUCCGCGGAAAGCAGGCGGAAUUCGUAGUGUAGCGGGGAAAUGCUUAGAUAUGACGCAGAACCCCGAUUGCGAAGGCAGCUGGCUGCAGCGGAAGUGACGCUGAUGCUCGAAAGCGCGGGUAUCGAACAGGAUUAGAUACCCGGGUAGUC
RNAcentral lists this ribosomal RNA (460 nucleotides) under uncultured bacterium. RNAcentral's name for it is "partial 16S ribosomal RNA". It matches the Rfam family "Bacterial small subunit ribosomal RNA", at positions 338 to 795 of the family's 1533-position model. The record is from RNAcentral.